This 1535-nucleotide long non-coding RNA is filed under the name Gossypium barbadense (sea-island cotton). Its description in RNAcentral is "long non-coding RNA (GBAR_LNC005675)". Lineage: Eukaryota; Viridiplantae; Streptophyta; Magnoliopsida; Malvales; Malvaceae. The record is from RNAcentral.
UUGAUUGAAAUAAAAAUAAGAUUAAGAGGACGAUCUAUAAACAAAUAAAAUUAAUAAAACCAAAGAUUAAACUAUGAUGAAACAUACACCAAUGGUCAAGGAUCUAAAAUAACAAAUAUCCCAAGCUUUGAAGUAUGGCAUUUAAACAAGGACCAAAUUGCAGCAGUGCGUAAAUCACAGGGAAAAUGUAAAAACAAACAAACAGAAUCAAGGCUGAAAAACAAAUCAAUGUAGGAUAAGAGGGACUCGGCGCGCAAUUUAACCAUUCAAAGCUAAAGGGCGCGGAUCCGGGUUGCAAAAUUGGUUGACGCGCGGAUCUCACCCCCCCAACAUUUUGCAGUCAAAAUUAAAAGAAUAAAAAAAAGAAUGGCAAUCUGCCAUUUUCACAAACAGCAAGUCAAAUGUUAGGGAUUCAAUUCGGGGACAUCGCCGAACCACCAUCAAGCUUGAUGGCCGACCAUGCGCAGAAGAGAUGCAAUCAGAGGCCAGAGGUAAGUACCCCCCUUUCUUUACUCGAUUCAUGCAAAAUAUAAGAGAAAAGAAAAGGAAAAAAAUAUUUCAAAAGAAAAAAAAAGAUCUCCAAAAUUAAAAGAAAGAAACUGCAAAACUUGAAUCACCUCUUUUGGUUUUUUCUACUGCUUUUUCAAUAUGCGGGUCCCUUUCUAGGAAAAGAAGAAGAUAAUCCCCCCUUUUACAGUAUUUUCCUUUGGCUUUUAUAGCCAAAUCUAAUGAAAUAACAAAGAAAUCCAAAAUUAUUUUCUUUUUCCAGCUAUACAAUUUACUGGAUUCAGUUAUUCUUAUUUUCUUCUUUCUCGCAGGUUCUAAUGUUGUAUGGAGCAGUGAAGAAGAUGCUGAGGCUGUAGUGCAAGAGGCUUCCAGAGACUCCAAAUGUGCUGGGCCAAUCGGGCUUAUUUUAUUUGGGUUGGAAAUUGGGCUUUAUUUAAAGGACUUAGACUAUUAAUAAAUUUGGGCCUUUAUUCGUGAACAGGCUUAGGACAAUUAAUUUAUUUUUUUACUUUAUUUUUUAUUUUGGUUUUAUGUAUGGGCCGGGUGAAUUGGGCCUAUUACAGUCCUCUUGUCCUUCCUCUAUGUCACGUAGGCUUUGCCUAAUUUCUCUUUGGUUUCUACGAGCUGUGUGUUCUAUCUCACUAUCAAAAAGUAAUGGUCCUAGCGGGUUUCUUCUAGUCAUAAACUAUAAAAACCUGUUAGAAGAAAAUAAAAGAAAAUUUAGUAAAAUUAACAAAAAUAAAAUAAAAUUUAAAUUGCAAUAAAAUAAAUGGCUAAAGUAAUAAAAAUUAAACGUUCCUAAUAUUUUAGUUCCCCGGCAAUGGCGCCAAAAACUUGAUUGAACAAAUUGUGAUAAGUUUUGAAUUUAUAAUUGACCGUACUUAAAAACUAACUAUUAUCACGAUGAAGACAAGUACACCUAUCGAACAAUAGUAUAGUUUAUAGCAAGACCGGGAUAUCGAACCCAAAUGAACUAAAAGUACUGGUAUUAACUCUCUUUUUAUUAUCUAGCCUAAAAAAUAAAGGGG